Molecule: long non-coding RNA, 597 nt
Filed under: Notechis scutatus (mainland tiger snake)
Lineage: Eukaryota; Metazoa; Chordata; Lepidosauria; Squamata; Elapidae
Description: lncRNA (ENSNSUG00000008430.1)
Source: RNAcentral
CUCACGUGGGAGAGAUGGUGCCUCUCUCAACUAAGCUCUGCAAAUUAAACCAGGCAGUGCAGGCUGUUGAGGCAUAUCUCCCAUACCCAAGAUCCACCCAGCCAGCCUAUCUGUCUACCCCUCCCGCAUGACUGGUGGGCAGGGCUGCCUCCAGCCAGAAUGCUCCUCGCUCCCCUUGAUCAGGGCAGAUUCAAGCACACAGACCAGAAACUGCAGCAUGUCACAGAGUCCCAGCCAGCCAGAAGUCCCUGCAAAAGGACAAGGCACUCCAGAUGCUCUCCCAGAGGAGCCCCCCUGUGCUGAACUGAAAGCCAACUUUGAAAAAUGCGUUAAAGAGAAGGGAGAAGAGGCAUGCAAGGAACUGCUGGAGACAUAUCAUUCCUGCUUGCGGGCACUGGGCAUAGCUCACCCGAACCUAAAAAACGGUCCCUAGCUUCCAAAUCACUGGGACCCCCAGCCAGCCAUGUUUCCUUUCCUGUAGGGACUCCAGAAUGCUCAACAAACAGAAAGCUCAGCACUGAUGCACCAUUCUCAGCAGGCACUACAGAAAGAGUUCCCACCUUCAAUAAAGCCCCUCCAUUUUAUUCUGACUGGACA